RNAcentral lists this ribosomal RNA (567 nucleotides) under uncultured eukaryote. RNAcentral's name for it is "SSU rRNA". It matches the Rfam family "Eukaryotic small subunit ribosomal RNA", at positions 4 to 569 of the family's 1831-position model. The record is from RNAcentral.
CUGGUUGAUCCUGCCAGUAGUCAUAUGCUUGUCUCAAAGAUUAAGCCAUGCAUGUCUAAGCACUAGCCGAUUAAUGGUGAAGCCGCGAAUGGCUCAUUACAACAGCCAUAGUUUCUUAGAUCUUACUUUUCUACUUGGAUAACUGUGGUAAUUCUAGAGCUAAUACACGCAAAAAAGCUCAGACCUUACGGAAUGAGCGCAUUUAUUAGAACAAAAACCAAUCGGGCUUCGGUCCGUCAUUUGGUGAAUCUGAAUAACUUUGCUGAUCGCACGGUCUUCGUACCGGCGACAUAUCUUUCAAAUGUUUGCCUUAUCAACUUUCGAUGGUAGUUUAUGCGCCUACCAUGGUUGUAACGGGUAACGGAGAAUAAGGGUUCGACUCCGGAGAGGGAGCCUGAGAAACGGCUACCACAUCCAAGGAAGGCAGCAGGCACGCAAAUUACCCACUCCCGGCACGGGGAGGUAGUGACGAAAAAUAACGAGACGGCUCGCUAUGCGGUCCGUCAUCGGAAUGGGUACAAUUUAAAUCCUUUAACGAGGAUCUAUUGGAGGGAAAGUCUGGUGCCA